Molecule: ribosomal RNA, 816 nt
Filed under: Escherichia coli
Lineage: Bacteria; Pseudomonadati; Pseudomonadota; Gammaproteobacteria; Enterobacterales; Enterobacteriaceae
Description: bacterial LSU rRNA
Rfam family: Bacterial large subunit ribosomal RNA
Source: RNAcentral
UGUGAGCUCGAUGAGUAGGGCGGGACACGUGGUAUCCUGUCUGAAUAUGGGGGGACCAUCCUCCAAGGCUAAAUACUCCUGACUGACCGAUAGUGAACCAGUACCGUGAGGGAAAGGCGAAAAGAACCCCGGCGAGGGGAGUGAAAAAGAACCUGAAACCGUGUACGUACAAGCAGUGGGAGCCUCUUUUAUGGGGUGACUGCGUACCUUUUGUAUAAUGGGUCAGCGACUUAUAUUCUGUAGCAAGGUUAACCGAAUAGGGGAGCCGAAGGGAAACCGAGUCUUAACUGGGCGUUAAGUUGCAGGGUAUAGACCCGAAACCCGGUGAUCUAGCCAUGGGCAGGUUGAAGGUUGGGUAACACUAACUGGAGGACCGAACCGACUAAUGUUGAAAAAUUAGCGGAUGACUUGUGGCUGGGGGUGAAAGGCCAAUCAAACCGGGAGAUAGCUGGUUCUCCCCGAAAGCUAUUUAGGUAGCGCCUCGUGAACUCAUCUCCGGGGGUAGAGCACUGUUUCGGCAAGGGGGUCAUCCCGACUUACCAACCCGAUGCAAACUGCGAAUACCGGAGAAUGUUAUCACGGGAGACACACGGCGGGUGCUAACGUCCGUCGUGAAGAGGGAAACAACCCAGACCGCCAGCUAAGGUCCCAAAGUCAUGGUUAAGUGGGAAACGAUGUGGGAAGGCCCAGACAGCCAGGAUGUUGGCUUAGAAGCAGCCAUCAUUUAAAGAAAGCGUAAUAGCUCACUGGUCGAGUCGGCCUGCGCGGAAGAUGUAACGGGGCUAAACCAUGCACCGAAGCUGCGGCAGCGACACU